UCAAUGGAGUUGUCUUUGACU
Molecule: unclassified non-coding RNA, 21 nt
Filed under: Dictyostelium discoideum
Lineage: Eukaryota; Evosea; Eumycetozoa; Dictyosteliales; Dictyosteliaceae
Source: RNAcentral